Molecule: ribosomal RNA, 262 nt
Filed under: uncultured archaeon
Lineage: Archaea
Description: partial 16S ribosomal RNA
Rfam family: Archaeal small subunit ribosomal RNA
Source: RNAcentral
UAGCCGUAAACGAUACUCGCUAGGUGUCGGCCACGGUGCGACCGUUGUCGGUGCCGUAGGGAAGCCGUGAAGCGAGCCACCUGGGAAGUACGGCCGCAAGGCUGAAGCUUAAAGGAAUUGGCGGGGGAGCACAACAACGGGUGGAGCUUGCGGUUUAAUUGGAUUCAACGCCGGAAAUACUUACCGGGACCGACAGCAACAUGAAGGCCAAGCUGAAGACUUUGCCGGAUUAGCUGAGAGGAGGUGCAUGGCGUAGUCGUGU